RNAcentral lists this unclassified non-coding RNA (335 nucleotides) under soil metagenome. Its description in RNAcentral is "partial contains 5.8S ribosomal RNA, internal transcribed spacer 2, and large subunit ribosomal RNA". The stretch from base 1 to 120 matches the Rfam family "5.8S ribosomal RNA", at positions 35 to 154 of the family's 154-position model. The record is from RNAcentral.
GAUGAAGAACGCAGCGAAAUGCGAUAAGUAGUGUGAAUUGCAGAAUUCAGUGAAUCAUCGAAUCUUUGAACGCACAUUGCGCCCUUUGGUAUUCCUUAGGGCAUGCCUGUUCGAGCGUCAUUUAAACCUUCAAGCUCAGCUUGGUGAUGGGCGACUGUCCUCCCCUCGCGGGGGGACUCGCCUCAAAAACAUUGGCAGCCGGUACAUUGGCUUCGAGCGCAGCAGAAACGCGGUCUCGAGCCCGGUGGAUCGGCUCCCAUAAGCCUAUUCUUUUAUUUUGACCUCGGAUCAGGUAGGGAUACCCGCUGAACUUAAGCAUAUCAAUAAGCGGAGGA